CAGAGGUGGCAAGCGUUGUUCGGAAUUACUGGGCGUAAAGGGCGCGUAGGCGGCCAUCUAAGUCAGACGUGAAAUCCCCCGGCUUAACCUGGGAACUGCGUCUGAUACUGGGAGGCUUGAGUAUGGGAGAGGGAUGUAGAAUUCCAGGUGUAGCGGUGAAAUGCGUAGAUAUCUGGAGGAAUACCGGUGGCGAAGGCGGCAUCCUGGACCAUUACUGACGCUGAGGCGCGAAAGCUAGGGGAGCAAACGGGAUUAGAUACCCCGGUAGUCCUAGCCCUAAACGAUGAAUACUUGGUGUGGCGGGUAUCGAUCCCUGCCGUGCCGAAGCUAACGCAUUAAGUAUUCCGCCUGGGGAGUACGGUCGCAAGGCUG
RNAcentral lists this ribosomal RNA (372 nucleotides) under uncultured organism. RNAcentral's name for it is "bacterial SSU rRNA". It matches the Rfam family "Bacterial small subunit ribosomal RNA", at positions 526 to 896 of the family's 1533-position model. The record is from RNAcentral.